GCGAGUAAGACCCUUGCCCUAGUGGCUCGGUACAGUCCCCUCAUAUACACCCGUUAUUCGUGAACUCGUGGUUCAGCUGACGAUGAAAGCUUUGGCGACUAGCCCGUCCGUCGGUUCCGCUCUUUAUACCCCUUUAUGUGAAGUCAAUGGAAAUUAUGAUAAUCUAAUACA
Molecule: unclassified non-coding RNA, 171 nt
Filed under: soil metagenome
Description: partial internal transcribed spacer 1
Source: RNAcentral